AGCAGAAGAGCCUAGUGAGAUAGGAGUUGCAUCUCUGCUCAUCCAGAUCUCUAGAGAAGGGAUCUACCCCUGGACUUUUUCCUGGAAAACUCUUCACGAAGCCAUAGGUAUGGAUGGAAGAAAAUGCACCAGUCCAAUAGCAGUAGGAGCCUGGGUAUUCUAUGCAUUUGAGUAUCUCACAUCUUCUGGAUCUGCCUAAACCCAGUCGCCAAGUACCACAGAUAUU
This 226-nucleotide long non-coding RNA is filed under the name Homo sapiens (human). Its description in RNAcentral is "HSALNT0320332". Lineage: Eukaryota; Metazoa; Chordata; Mammalia; Primates; Hominidae. The record is from RNAcentral.